CGAGCGAAAUAUUGGGAGCUUGCUUUUGAUUAUUUUAGCGGCGGACGGGUGAGUAACGUGUGGGUAACCUGCCUUUUACUGGGGAAUAAUCACUGGAAACGGUGACUAAUACCGCAUACGGUUCUUGGAAGGCAUCUUCUGAGAAAGAAAGGAUUUAUUCGGUAAAAGAUGGGCCCGCAUCUGAUUAGCUAGUUGGUGAGAUAACAGCCCACCAAGGCGACGAUCAGUAGCCGACCUGAGAGGGUGACCGGCCACAUUGGGACUGAGACACGGCCCAAACUCCUACGGGAGGCAGCAGUGGGGAAUAUUGCACAAUGGGCGAAAGCCUGAUGCAGCAACGCCGCGUGAAGGAAGACGGUUUUCGGAUUGUAAACUUCUAUCAAUAGGGAAGAAAGGAAUGACGGUACCUAAAUAAGAAGCCCCGGCUAACUACGUGCCAGCAGCCGCGGUAAUACGUAGGGGGCAAGCGUUAUCCGGAAUUACUGGGUGUAAAGGGAGAGUAGGCGGCAAGGUAAGCGAUAUGUGAAAGCCUUAGGCUUAACCUGAGGAUUGCAUAACGAACUAUCUAGCUAGAGUACAGGAGAGGAAAGCGGAAUUCUUAGUGUAGCGGUGAAAUGCGUAGAUAUUAGGAAGAACACCAGUGGCGAAGGCGGCUUUCUGGACUGAAACUGACGCUGAGGCUCGAAAGCGUGGGGAGCGAACAGGAUUAGAUACCCUGGUAGUCCACGCUGUAAACGAUGAGUGCUAGGUGUCGGGGAGGAAUCCUCGGUGCC
RNAcentral lists this ribosomal RNA (773 nucleotides) under uncultured bacterium. RNAcentral's name for it is "bacterial SSU rRNA". It matches the Rfam family "Bacterial small subunit ribosomal RNA", at positions 63 to 847 of the family's 1533-position model. The record is from RNAcentral.